UACGGAGGGUGCAAGCGUUAUCCGGAUUUACUGGGUUUAAAGGGUGCGUAGGUGGAUUGGUAAGUCAGUGGUGAAAUACUUUCGCUUAACGAAGGAACUGCCAUUGAUACUACCAGUCUUGAAUACAGUGGAGGUAGGCGGAAUGCGUCAUGUAGCGGUGAAAUGCUUAGAUAUGACGCAGAACACCAAUUGCGAAGGCAGCUUGCUACACUGUUAUUGACACUGAGGCACGAAAGCGUGGGGAUCAAACAGG
Molecule: ribosomal RNA, 253 nt
Filed under: uncultured bacterium
Lineage: Bacteria
Description: partial 16S ribosomal RNA
Rfam family: Bacterial small subunit ribosomal RNA
Source: RNAcentral